CGGAAGCCUGAUCCAGCCAUGCCGCGUGAGUGAAGAAGGCCUUCGGGUUGUAAAGCUCUUUCGGCGGGGAAGAAAUUGCACGGGUUAAUACCCUGUGUAGAUGACGGUACCCGAAUAAGAAGCACCGGCUAACUACGUGCCAGCAGCCGCGGUAAUACGUAGGGUGCGAGCGUUAAUCGGAAUUACUGGGCGUAAAGCGUGCGCAGGCGGUUUGGUAAGUCAGAUGUGAAAUCCCCGGGCUCAACCUGGGAACUGCAUUUGAGACUGCCAGGCUGGAGUUUGGCAGAGGGGGGUGGAAUUCCACGUGUAGCAGUGAAAUGCGUAGAGAUGUGGAGGAACACCGAUGGCGAAGGCAGCCCCCUGGGCCAAUACUGACGCUCAUGCACGAAAGCGUGGGGAGCAAACAGGAUUAGAUACCCUGGUAGUCCACGCCCUAAACGAUGUCAACUAGGUGUUGGGAGGGUAAAACCAUUUAGUACCGGAGCUAACGCGUGAAGUUGACCGCCUGGGGAGUACGGCCGCAAGGUUAAAACUCAAAGGAAUUGACGGGG
This 551-nucleotide ribosomal RNA is filed under the name uncultured bacterium. RNAcentral describes it as "bacterial SSU rRNA". It matches the Rfam family "Bacterial small subunit ribosomal RNA", at positions 376 to 918 of the family's 1533-position model. The record is from RNAcentral.